Molecule: ribosomal RNA, 432 nt
Filed under: uncultured bacterium
Lineage: Bacteria
Description: partial 16S ribosomal RNA
Rfam family: Bacterial small subunit ribosomal RNA
Source: RNAcentral
AACGAACGCUGGCGGCAGGCUUAACACAUGCAAGUCGAGCGAGACCUUCGGGUCUAGCGGCGGACGGGUGAGUAACGCGUGGGAACGUGCCCUUCUCUACGGAAUAGCCCCGGGAAACUGGGAGUAAUACCGUAUACGCCCUUUGGGGGAAAGAUUUAUCGGAGAAGGAUCGGCCCGCGUUGGAUUAGGUAGUUGGUGGGGUAAUGGCCCACCAAGCCGACGAUCCAUAGCUGGUUUGAGAGGAUGAUCAGCCACACUGGGACUGGGACACGGCCCAGACUCCUACGGGAGGCAGCAGUGGGGAAUCUUAGACAAUGGGGGCAACCCUGAUCUAGCCAUGCCGCGUGAGUGAUGAAGGCCUUAGGGUUGUAAAGCUCUUUCAGCUGGGAAGAUAAGGACGGUACCAGCAGAAGAAGCCCCGGCUAACUCCGU